This 91-nucleotide transfer RNA is filed under the name Kocuria rhizophila. RNAcentral's name for it is "tRNA-OTHER". Lineage: Bacteria; Bacillati; Actinomycetota; Actinomycetes; Micrococcales; Micrococcaceae. RNAcentral also lists the same sequence under 1 other name. The record is from RNAcentral.
GGAGACCGCAGUGUUCACCAGGGGACGCUGGUGCGCUUGAUCGCUUUCGAGCGUGACAGAUACGGCGGUUCGAUUCCGUCGGUCUCCACCA